This 440-nucleotide ribosomal RNA is filed under the name uncultured bacterium. RNAcentral describes it as "partial 16S ribosomal RNA". It matches the Rfam family "Bacterial small subunit ribosomal RNA", at positions 338 to 795 of the family's 1533-position model. The record is from RNAcentral.
CCUACGGGAGGCUGCAGUGGGGAAUAUUGCACAAUGGGGGAAACCCUGAUGCAGCGACGCCGCGUGAGUGAAGAAGUAUUUCGGUAUGUAAAGCUCUAUCAGCAGGGAAGAAAAUGACGGUACCUGAUUAAGAAGCCCCGGCUAACUACGUGCCAGCAGCCGCGGGAAUACGUAGGGGGCAAGCGUUAUCCGGAUUUACUGGGGGUAAAGGGAGCGGAGACGGCAGCACAAGUCUGGAGUGAAAUGCCGGUGCUUAACCCCGGAACAGCUUUGGAAACUGUGCAGCUAGAGUGCAGGAGAGGUAAGUGGAAGUCCUAGUGAAGCGGUGAAAUGCGUAGAUAUUAGGAGGAACACCAGUGGCGAAGGCGGCUUACUGGACUGUAACUGACGUUGAGGCUCGAAAGCGUGGGGAGCAAACAGGAUUAGAUACCCUUGUAGUC